GACGAACGCUGGCGGCGUGCUUAACACAUGCAAGUCGAACGGCAAGGCCCUGCUUUUGUGGGGUGCUCUAUUGGCGAACGGGUGAGUUACCCGUGUGUAUCCUGCCCUUGACUUUGUGAUAUCUUCAGGUAACUGCUGCUAAUACCGUAUAGGUGCUCCUGCUGCAUUGUGUGGGUUGGUAAGUUUCGGCGUUUGGGGAUGGACUCGCGGCUUAUCAGCUUGUUUGUGGGGUAGUGGCUUACCAAGGCUUUGACGGGUAGCCGGCCUGAGAGGGUGACAGGCGACAUUGGGACUGAGAUACGGCCCAGACGCGUACGGGAGGGAGCAGUGGGGAAGAGAGCACAAUGGGCGGAAGCCUGAUGAAGCAACGCCGCGUGCGGGAUGAGGGCCUUCGGGUUGUAAACCGCUUUAGAAUGUGACGAAGCGUGAGUGACGGUAAUGGGUAAAGAAGCACCGGCUAACUACGUG
This 468-nucleotide ribosomal RNA is filed under the name uncultured bacterium. Its description in RNAcentral is "partial 16S ribosomal RNA". It matches the Rfam family "Bacterial small subunit ribosomal RNA", at positions 28 to 507 of the family's 1533-position model. The record is from RNAcentral.